ACCCGGGGAAACUGAGGCAGCCGGCCGCGCGGCGCCAACCCUGCUGGGACGGCUCGAAUGUCAGCUCCCCGUGGCGCGUUCAGUUCUACGUGCAGCUCUCUCUGGUUUCUCAGGAGGGAGGUAAUGUGGCCUGGUAUUCCCAUCUCAGUAAGAAUAGGAAGAGGAAGGUAACAGACAAUAAAUCAUUAAACAAAUGGCGAAUGGCACAAGUUAUACCGUUUCCUGAGAGAACUGAGAACUGUGAUGUGUUCUGCGGUUUAGAUGAGGAUCUGGUCUGGUAAGGGCCAAAGUAAGAAGUGGAAACUUUCUUUGAAUAUAGUGGUUGGUGGUCAGGAAAGUCUCUGCGGAUGUAACCUUUACUUGUGUCCAAAAUGAUGAGAAAGAACCAGCUAUGCGAAGAGCUGUGGAAGUGUCUUUGCAGAAGGAGGAACUGAAGGUGCAAAGCCCUAAAGUGGAAAACAAUUUGAUCAGUUUCAGAACAGAAGAGAAGCCUGUGUGAGAAAGAAAUCAAGUACUGUAAGAUGAAAUUACAAAACAAACAAGAGUAAAGGUCUCCUGGGCCUGAUGGGCCGUGGUAAGGAGUUUGAACUUCAUUUUAAGUCAAUGUACUGAUACAUAAUAAAAUGUCCUUGAUUGAAGAGACUGAAAUAAAAAGGAUCAA
Long non-coding RNA from Capra hircus (goat), 661 nucleotides. RefSeq lists it as uncharacterized. The record is from RefSeq and is a predicted model, not a curated record. Lineage: Eukaryota; Metazoa; Chordata; Mammalia; Artiodactyla; Bovidae. The transcript is spliced from 3 exons.